This is a non-coding RNA of Meleagris gallopavo (turkey), 1001 nucleotides long. The record is from RefSeq and is a predicted model, not a curated record. NCBI's taxonomy places the organism in Eukaryota, Metazoa, Chordata, Aves, Galliformes, Phasianidae.
UAGUUCAUUUUAGUAGAGUUUGCUGUUUUCCAGGUGCAGUUAAAAACCAACAUUUCAAGUCAGUAUGUAAUUCGUACACAGCCAACAAACAACUGUCUCUCUACGCUUGAAUGUGCGGCUGUUGCUCUCACUAUCAUGGAAAAAAAUAAGAAUAUACAAGAGACCAUACUACGUCCUCUUCAAGCUUUGUGCUCUUUCCAGCUUCAGCAUGGAGCCCAGAUCCACCACAGCAAGGAGCAUCUUCUUAAAAAUGGCUUAUAUGACAAGCCAAUGCCAAAGAAUAAGCGCAAACUUAGAAGAAUGGAACUUUUGUUAAAUAAUGUAAAAAUAUAGGAAAAUUGUACCUACCGUACAGUGGGAUGUAUUCGCAGCUUGCCAGUGAAUAUGGAUCUGAAUUGAAUCCAAGGAGUUGUGCGUACUGUAACAAAGCAAUUUGUAGGCCCUUCAUAGUUAAAAAGAGUUUACCUCCAAUAAGAUGAACAGUAAUGGAGAAGCUUUUUUAUUCCUUUGUUCAGAUGAUUGAAGAUUAUCCUAAUUUCCUUUAGAAAAAAAAAAAAAAAAGAAUGAAAAUUUGGAGCUUGGUUUAGAUUUAUGUUAUCUCUUGGGUGAAUAGUAGCUGUUCGAUUUCUUUUGGAAAAGUUUGAUCACAAAACAGAAUAUCAGUGUAACGGACUGGGAAGACUUCAAAAUUUAGAAGUAUAUGGAAUCUUGGUUACUUUAAUUUCAGAAUCUAAUUUUUGAAGGUUUUCAAAGAUUAAUUCCUUAUGUUAUUUAGGUCACCAUGUGUAAGUCAUGUUUUUUGGACAGUUCUUUUCAGUGAUGAGAUUUAUAUUUUGUCCCUUUUUAAAAUGAAUGUGUAUUUUACAAGGCCACCAGAUUUAGUUUGUCUCUUAAACUUAGUUGUUAAAAUUAAGUCCACAUAUUUUUAUGUGAACCUGAACCCUUCUGGUCAAACAACAACAACAAACUAGACAAAACAAUAAAGUCAAUGUAGAAAAUCA